Molecule: long non-coding RNA, 1134 nt
Filed under: Triticum aestivum (bread wheat)
Lineage: Eukaryota; Viridiplantae; Streptophyta; Magnoliopsida; Poales; Poaceae
Description: long non-coding RNA (TAES_LNC027556)
Source: RNAcentral
UCUGAUAAGAUAUAUACUGAACAGAUGAAUGGCAGGAUCAGUAAGCUUUCUUCUUGAUUAUGGUUUCUUCUGCAUUCUCAAUGUUGUAUAUAUCUGCCUGGGAAUUUUGUUUUGUUAAUUUUUAUAGUAUCAUUGUUAGAGAGGUUGUCUUGCCGAAUAUAGUUUUAACUUUUGGAUAUUUUUUCAUACAAGAAUUCCAAAUACAGUAAUGGCCCUUGUUGGGAACAAGGCUCUCAUAUAAGGGGAAACUUUAGAAGUAAAGCGACCAUAAAUUAAAUCAUGUGCAACUUGUUUUCUUCCUUGUUGUUUUAUUGCAUUAGAGAUAUUUAGAAUUUUGACUGUCUAAAAAUGCGGAGCAUAUAUUGUGCAGCUUUAGCUCCCCAUUCUGUUUUUCUCCCGAGGGAAAGGUUUAUGUCUAAAUUGGUGCCAUUUGCUGGCUUUAUUUUGCACGAGUUUGUUCUGGAUGUAGUUUUCUAGGCGUAUUGAUCAUCUCCCAUGCUUUGACCGAACGAGUUUUCCCUAUAUGUCUAAUAAUCGUUUUCACACACUUCUGGUUGAUAGAAUUAAGGGAACCAUCUUUGUAUGUCUAUAGUGAUUUCGGGAGGAUCCACAUGUGGAGAAGUUGGCCGCAAGGAUCAAUACUUGCAAUGACCUUAAAAAUACGUAUGAAGUUUUCAAUUUGGUAGUUUAUACCACAUGACUCAUUCACUUGCAGGCCUGAUGUGGUGUGAUCUUGUUGAUUCAUAUGGCAGACUGUUACAGGAUCAGAGGACUUAGCUGAAGGCAGGCUUGAGACUGCUGAAAAAGUGUUGGUGUGAUUCAGUGAUCCCAGUAAUUUUUCUGAUAUCAGUGUUAUUCGAGGCUCUUAAUUUCAAACACAUUCCAGUAAUUAACUAUUGACUAUAGAAGAUUUUAUUAUUGUCUAGGAUGCCUGGUUGGGUAUAACCGAAUAUAGAAUGAGCUUGUGUAUAAGCCGCUGGUGGCAUAGAGGCUUGACAAAUACGAUUGCAUUUAGUUUCUCUUUACUGUAAUUUUGUUGUGUUGCCUUCAAGAAGCUUAAGAGAUGAUCUUUGUAUUUUGUUGCAAAUAUGGCACUUGUGUGUGUACCAUGGCUUCAUUGCAUAUUGACUUUAA